CACGUAGUUAGCCGUGGCUUUCUGGUUAGAUACCGUCAAGGGGCGAACAGUUACUCUCACCCAUGUUCUUCUCUAACAACAGAGCUUUACGACCCGAAGGCCUUCUUCGCUCACGCGGCGUUGCUCGGUCAGACUUUCGUCCAUUGCCGAAGAUUCCCUACUGCUGCCUCCCGUAGGAGUUUGGGCCGUGUCUCAGUCCCAAUGUGGCCGAUCACCCUCUCAGGUCGGCUAUGGAUCGUCGCCUUGGUAAGCCAUUACCUUACCAACUAGCUAAUCCAGCGCGGGUCCAUCUCACAGUGACAGCCGAAACCGUCUUUCACUUGAACAUCUUAUGAUGUUCAGCACAUUCGGUAUUAGCAUCGAUUUCUCGAUGUUAUCCCCAGCUGUGAGGCAGGUUACCCACGUGUUACUCACCCGUCCGCCACUAACUUCAAAAGAGCAAGCUCUUUAUCCGUUCGUUCGACUUGCAUGUAUUAGGCACGCCGCCAGCGUUCGU
This 496-nucleotide ribosomal RNA is filed under the name uncultured Brochothrix sp. RNAcentral's name for it is "partial 16S ribosomal RNA". The record is from RNAcentral. Lineage: Bacteria; Bacillati; Bacillota; Bacilli; Caryophanales; Listeriaceae.